CCCGCUGAACUUAAGCAUAUCAAUAAGCGGAGGAAAAGAAACUAACAAGGAUUCCCCUAGUAACUGCGAGUGAAGCGGGAAGAGCUCAAAUUUAAAAUCUGGCGGUCUCGCGGCCGUCCGAGUUGUAAUCUGGAGAAGCGUUUUCCGCGUCGGACCGUGUACAAGUCUUCUGGAACGGAGCGUCGUAGAGGGUGAGAAUCCCGUCUCUGACACGGACAGCCGAUGCUUCAUGUGAUACGCUCUCGAAGAGUCGAGUUGUUUGGGAAUGCAGCUCAAAAUGGGUGGUAAAUUCCAUCUAAAGCUAAAUAUUGGCGAGAGACCGAUAGCGAACAAGUACCGUGAGGGAAAGAUGAAAAGAACUUUGAAAAGAGAGUUAAACAGUACGUGAAAUUGUUGAAAGGGAAACGUUUGAAAUCAGUCAUUUCUUCUGGAAAUCAGCCUUGCUUUUGCAUGGUGUAUUUUCCAGUGGAAAGGUUAACGUCAAUUUUGGUUGUCGGAUAAAAGCCUUUGGAAUGUGGCUCUCUUCGGGGAGUGUUAUAGCCAAGGUCAAUACGAUGACUGGGAUUGAGGAUUCGCCGCCAAUGCUCUCUGGGCAGUGGCAUCAUGCGCUCAGGUUAACACUCUGCUAGACAGCUUGCUGACUAGUAGUUUGAAGAUUUGACUCGUGUGGUUCCCACUCAUUGGCGUAGGACGUUAACUUAAUGGUUUUAAACGACCCGUCUUGAAACACGG
RNAcentral lists this ribosomal RNA (732 nucleotides) under uncultured fungus. RNAcentral's name for it is "eukaryotic LSU rRNA". It matches the Rfam family "Eukaryotic large subunit ribosomal RNA", at positions 24 to 664 of the family's 3401-position model. Lineage: Eukaryota; Fungi. The record is from RNAcentral.